UUCCCCUUCCUCAUCCUCACGCCCGCUCGCUCCCCCCGACUCCCUGACCGCUUGCUUCCUCCCCCCUUUCUCCCGCCCCUCUCCACCAAACCCUAAGGCCGUCUCCCUCCCUCCGCCUCCCCGUUCGCCAUCUCCCCGUGGCGUCCUCCGCGGCUCCUUCGGGCGCGGCGGCGUCGGCGACGGAGUGCCCUCGCUUUCUAGAGCGGUGCGGCCUCAACGCCGACGAGUUCGACGACGAUGCCGAGGCGGAACCCACGGGAGAGAGGAGGGGAAGGCCAUCGUCAUGGCUGGAUCUGGUCUCUCCUUGCUCAGCGGUAGCGGCAACGUCCUCCCCUUUGUCCUGGCCUCCCCAUCCUCCUCCCAAAAAAUCCCCCACUGCUGGCUUCAUCGAUGACGGCGAUGAUGUACAGUAGCUCCCGUGUCACCCACUCCGCUAGAUAUGGAGGCACCUCGUCCUCUUCUUCGUCUCAGCGCCAGACAGUCCCCUCGUCCUCGGCACCGUCAUCGACACCAAAGGAACAAUGAUGAGGCCUCUGGGUGGAGACGAGGAUCUCGGUGGUGAUGCGGCCGGAGGCAAUACAACAUUCGCACUGUUAACAUGACAUUGAAGUGUGGUUGAUUAGGCGAAGAAAGAUAUAUUUUGGUUGGAGGAUUGCAGGGAUGUAAGCGGUUUGAAUAACAUUUGGGACUAACCUGACAAAGAGGUUCCAGUGUUUCCUCUGCGAAAGUUGUUGCGAAAAGCAGCUGGACAAGACAAUUAUGAGAUUCCAUUUACAUGGUUUUUCUUCAUGGUCAUGAAGCAACUUGCUCGUUGGACCUGUUGCAUAGCUUACAUGGCUCCUCCCAUUAUGUCUUGCUUCCAAUAAAGACUUCAUUUCUUUGAUUGUUGGGGGUGCGCUUCAGACAUGUGGUCAUGCUGCCGGCAACCGCAUUGGCUCCUAUUCAGCUAAGACGCGGUUCUUGAUUUGUUGGCGAAAACCCAAAUUCUGGGGAAUCAUUGAGCUGACCUGGAGUUCUUGUUCAGUGUUUUGCUGAAUCUGGAUAUGGCGAGCUUUUAGCAGGAAACAAACGCCAGGAAUGAUCAAGGGCCUUUUGCUGAUCACGUUGGGCAUCAGAACCACAUGGAAAACCUCACAGAUCAUCCAGAAAAAACUCUCAGAAUGCAAAGGAUCUAGGAUUUUCUCCAUUGAGUUUGUUGCCCUGAUUGCAUUUUGCCCCUUUAGUUCAGAGUUGUUCAUUCUCUCGGAAAGGAGACCGCACAAAGCAUCCGUUAAUUUAUCCAUUCAGUAUGAGAUACCAAGGAAACCCACUAAAAUGAUAGUUGGCAACAACCUAGCAAGAAGAACCUAAGGUGAUGGAAAAAAGCAACAAGUACUUAGGGUUUGUCAUUCUCUCCAGCAGGUGAUAUGCUAUUCAAUUUAUUAUUUCCUGUGAUUUUACGGUGCCACUACCUUCGUUCUGUUCUCGGAAGCAAUAUAGCUAAUUGCCUAUAAUAGAUUACAUAAUAAAAGUUUAGCGCAUCUGCCAGGUAGCAUUUUCAUACAAUGUUAGAUACUUACAUGCUAUGCAUCUAUUCAAGAUUCCUUUUCUUCUGUCAUGACCUAUUACUGGCAGUACUUAUUUUUGGGCACUCAUAUGGAUCUUUUCUAAUGGUUCUCUGUUAAAGCUACGCAUUGUUCACACAUGAAGAUUAAGUGAAAAAGAUGACACACCCAUCUUACCUUUAUUUGCUGGAUAUGCUAUAUUAAAACCCAAUUGUAUGUCCUUAGCGUCUUAGGUCAUUGUAUUGCACAACACCGUUUGUAGAUGAGCUCAAUAUAUAUAUAUAUAUAUAUAUAUAUAUAUAUAUAUAGGACACUCAUAUGGGGCACCAUGGUGCCCGGGCACCAUGGUUUCAAAUGCACAAAAUCACUCAAAUUUUUCAAAAUUUUCAAAUUGUGAGUAUAUACCUAGUUAUAAGAAUUCGAUUCAUACCUAUACCUAUCAACAAAACAACUCAAAUUUAACUUUAUUUCACAAUCCAUGAUUACAUACCUAACUAAUUAUAUGUAUGGAUGCUAUAUACCUAGAAUCAAAAUCUAACAAAAACAAGUUCAAAUUCAGUUCAAACUUGCUUUCAACUAGUUAGUAAAGUAGUUAAUAUUAAUACCUAAAUAAUUGAAAAAGUUUCAUGCUCAUUUGAAUUGGGUAUAUACUCAAUUUCAACAAUGGUGCCCGGGCACCAUGGAGCACCAAACAAAUUUACUAUAUAUAUAUAUAUAUAUUGCUUAUAUCAUUGUGUUUGCAUAAUAAGGUUUUGGUACUAAUAUGAGGUUACUAUGCUCACAGUGGUUAGAUAUAGAAUUCAUUUUGUUAUUGGUCUGUAGUUUGGUUUUGGCUCUUGUUUUGUUUUUCCACAGGCCCAGCAAAUAUGAUAUAAGAUAAUGUUAGUCAUGGUCCCUCAUCUUGAAAAGGUCGCUGCGGACAUUCCUCAAACAAAUAUAUGAGCCUGUAUAUACCGUACUGUUUAAUGGUCAUCUCAAAUGAUAAAUAUAUGAAAGUAUUAUAUGUUUACCGUGUUUUAUCUAAGAGUACAUGAGCUUGUCAAGUUGUGUGGCGAGAUUAAAUAUAUCAUUGCUGAUUGCUGAUUUGUUGGCUACCUUGAUGAUGUCCAUAUGAGAGCAUCUGAACAUAUAUCCAUUGAAAUAAUCCAAUUUCACGUCCUUAGAAUGCAUACAGACUUCGAACAAGUAUUAAAAAAAUAACUCAACGCAAAAACUCAACGCAAAAGCUUAGUGCACUCAGGUCAAGUCACAAGCAUACAACAGAAAAACGGCUUCCCCUUCCAUACACCUGCAUCAUCUGAUUAUACCAAAGUACAUUCACGAAUAAAAACAUGGUUCCAUAACGUGAUUCAGUAUUCAAACAUGCAUUGCUUGCUGCUUGCCAUAGACAGGACUAAUAUCUAUACUGAACUGAUUUCCUUUUGUUUUCGCUAUAUUAAAUCGCCUGCUUCGAGCACGCGCGGCUUAGCGCGCGAGACCGUUCUAGUAUUUUUACAUAUCACACUAAAUGUUUGAUAAGAGACACUACUACAAAAUCGGUUUUUGCAUGCGGCCAAAAUCGAUUUUCGUAGACGGUUGCAUGCGGACACUUAAGCCAUCCGACUGCGAAAUUGAAAAAUAACAAAAAAAAAAUCUGAAAAUCAAUUUCCCUAGACCCUAACCCUAGAAUCGCAAAAGGGAACUAAUACAAACUCAUAGUAGGGAUGUCACAUCCACACAAAAUCAUCCACUCAUAAUAUAGUAAUUAAAGUGUAAUUACACUUCAAUUAUUCUAUAGUUAUAUCUGAAAGUUUUUUCUCAAAAAUCUUAUGGUAGUUUUUUAAUACUCCCAUUAUUUUUUGUAUGUGACACGUAACUUUUGAUGUAAUCGCACCCAACUCGGAUCACAUUAGCUAGGCUGCUCUACGCCUCCCUUGUGUCAGAACGCUUGCUCGAUCGGCUCCUUUAGGGUGUGUUUGGAUGGUGGUCAAGGAUGGAUAGGAUAUGUCCAUCCAUAUUUUCAGGGAUAUGGCCAUCCAAUUUUUGUUUGGUUCGACGGAUAGGAUGAGCCAAGUUUAUGUUUGGUUGGAAGGAGAAGAGGUGGAUAUGGUGAGCCAAUUUUUUGUUUGGUAGGAUGGAUGGGUGUUGUGAUCACCUUUUGGAUGAAAUGGUGAGAAUACCUCCUUCUCCUUGUAGAUGGCCUAAAUAUCUUUUUUUCUCUGAUUUUACAAUAUAAUGUAAGCAAAUAAGUUUUAUUAAUGUUAUAGAGCAGAUUUUCAUCGGACAAUUCAAAGACAAGCACUUGUACUACAUAUCCGAUAUUGCAAUGCACUCCUAUCUGUGAAUGACAUUUUGUGCCAUUUCUAGUUAUUUUUGGAAGUUUCGUUAUCAGCACCUGUUUCAUCUCAUAGCUUAAUCAUUUUACUGGUUUUCAAGUUGAAUGAAAAAUCCUGCGGAAAGUUCUGAUGGUUGUUGAGGUACUGCACAAGCAGCACAGCUAUACUUGUGUUUCAACAAACUGAACUGACGAAUCUGAAUCUAAAUCCACAAACCAAUGAGUUUUGCUGUUGUGUCUCUGUGCAUUGCUUGGUUGACCAUCAAGAAGAACAUCAAAUACCAUUUGCCGCUCCUGAACCGCUGGACGCCGCCUACCGCCGCCGCCGCUGAACGACACCCACCGCCUCCACCCGUGCGUCUGCCGCGCCCCUGCGCCUCUUCCCAUGACCCUGUGCCUCCUCCCACGCAGCCCUUCGCGCCGGCGCUUGAGGCCGUUGGCGCCUCCGGCUGCGCCACCAGGGGAGAUGAAGGGGAAAGGAAGGGAGAAAAGCUAGGGUUCAGACUUGAGAGCUCCAGAGACUCAGACCGGUGAGAAAGAAAGAAAAGAAGAGGAGAGGAAGAGAAAACGAGGGGGAAGGAGGUGAGCGCAUGCCACUUUUUCCUUUUACGUGCGCUCGCCCGUCCCUGGAUCGCCCCGUUCGCCCGAUUCGGCCGGAUGCAUCUGUUCGGCAUCUACUGCGAAUAUUCCUUAGGGGGUGGCCAUAUCCUAUACCAGCCCAACAACCAAACACCUAUAAAAACCGGGCGGCCAUCUCCUACGCAGGCAAAACCAUCCAAACACAUCCUUAAUUUGCACGAACGUGCCGGACACACGCACAGGUCCACGGGUGUGUUCACCGCCACCCGCAGUUGUACAUUUCGACAUCGCUUGAGUACACAACUAGCACCACCCGUCGUUGCACCAUUUGCUCACACUCACACGGCGCCGCCACAGUAACGUGUACCGCACUGCAACGUGGUCCAUAAAUUAGAGCACACCUUCUCCUCUCCAUCUCUCCCUCUCUCUCUCUCUCGAUCGGCCACAUCCACCCACAGAUUCGAACUUCUCCCUGCCCCCCCCCCCCCCACCCCCAACAAUGUCGGAUUCGACAUAGCGGAGGAGGAUUCGUUUCUUCGCGGUCCCCGUGUUGAAUAGGAAGGAAUUCAGAGGGAUUAGUCCUCAUCGCCGAGGUUUUUCAGAAGACGACCACCACGGUUGAUUUACCGGACCUCUCAAGGCAACAGCGGAUGAUGUUCGGGCGGCGACGUUUAUGGAGCGCGCGCGUCAAGGACUAGUACAGCCAGUUCAAGGAGAACUCCGCCGAGAAAGCACUGGAUCUGCAUCGAGGACAAGUUCCGCGCCGCCGGCGACUACGUCUCACAGAAGAGCAGCUCGGUGUUUGGCAAAAAGAAGGUCGAGCCCAUGGUCAAGGAUGCAGCAGCUCCAGGGAAGGGCGGGAGGUGACUCCGGUGGCAGUCGAAUCUCAGUGAAGGGGGCUCGCAUCUGAUCAUAACCAACUUGAGACAAGUGUAAAUCCUCUUAGGUAUUCGAUGGUGGAAUUUUUGGAGCUGUGAGAUCUUAUCGAUCAGCUUAAGAUGGAAUCUAGCAAUGCACAACCUCAAGAUUCUGCCUAUUCAGUUCCCAAAAACCCAUCCAUGACUUGUUGCCGGAAGAGGACUGAUGGCGCUACUUUCCUCGAAGAUCUGAAAGACCAUAUCGAGGAGUUCAUCCAUGCCUCCAUGGAUGAGCACAAGACAUGCUUCAAACACCAUCCAAAAGAUGUUUGGGAUGUCAAAGGUUGUCGCGGAGCGUUCGGCGGAUGCCAAGGAAGCUGAAGUUAAAAGUGCUUUGCCUCUUCAGACCAGUGUCUCGCAGCCUGUUGCAUUCUGUUGUCUGUCGGGUUUCAAAAAAAAUUCUGUUGUCUGUGGCUAUUUGGAGCUUAACAAUCAGUCCAUCAGUAAUACUGUAAUAACAGAGAUCCUUGUGCCGGCAGUCUGCUGCUUUCUGUUCCGUGUUAGUAUUUGAUGCGUCGUUGGUGUCGUAUUUGAUCGGCACCAAUGCGGUUGAUCUUUGCCAAUAGACGUGAUCUCUACCAACAUA
This is a long non-coding RNA of Oryza sativa Japonica Group (Japanese rice), 5940 nucleotides long. RefSeq lists it as uncharacterized. The record is from RefSeq and is a predicted model, not a curated record. NCBI's taxonomy places the organism in Eukaryota, Viridiplantae, Streptophyta, Magnoliopsida, Poales, Poaceae.